CGCGUUUUUCGCCGCGGAGCUCGACCGCCCCGGGCCGAGAUGAUCCGCUUCGUCGACGAGCACAAGGAUCGUUUCGGGGUCGAGCCGAUCAUCGGUGUCCUG
Molecule: regulatory RNA element, 102 nt
Organism: Micromonospora rhizosphaerae
Lineage: Bacteria; Bacillati; Actinomycetota; Actinomycetes; Micromonosporales; Micromonosporaceae
Rfam family: ALIL pseudoknot
Source: Rfam